Molecule: ribosomal RNA, 31 nt
Filed under: Metapochonia rubescens
Lineage: Eukaryota; Fungi; Ascomycota; Sordariomycetes; Hypocreales; Clavicipitaceae
Description: partial 28S ribosomal RNA
Source: RNAcentral
ACCCGCUGAACUUAAGCAUAUCAAUAAGCGG